Molecule: long non-coding RNA, 337 nt
Filed under: Mytilus galloprovincialis (Mediterranean mussel)
Lineage: Eukaryota; Metazoa; Mollusca; Bivalvia; Mytilida; Mytilidae
Source: RNAcentral
AAAAAUCCUCAAUCCUCAAUCUUAAGGCCUGUUGGCACGAAUUGUCCCAAUGUACGGUUUUACUCUCUGGUGCGUUUUCCUCGAUGUAUUUUCUUCUCUGUGCUUUAAAUUUGGUAUGCGCUGGUUAAGAUUGGGAUUGAGGAACAGCAGUAUUAAAUCUGCCCGUUCUGUCAAUGUAAUGUGCCACUGUUUGUAAUUUGGCUUUUGUCUCUUCUGUGUUUUCGCCGUCCAGUCUUGUCAGCAUAGUAGCUAAAUUCAAGUUUCUGACCCCGACCUCUUUGGAUAUUUGAUGUAGCAUAUCUUCUCGUUCUUUUUCAUAGUAGGGACACUCCAGAAG